UCGAUAGCUCAGUUGGUAGAGCAUGGGGCUCUUGAUCUCAGGGUUAUGGGUCUGAGUUCCACGCUGAGCAAAA
This is a non-coding RNA of Podarcis lilfordi (Lilford's wall lizard), 73 nucleotides long. NCBI's taxonomy places the organism in Eukaryota, Metazoa, Chordata, Lepidosauria, Squamata, Lacertidae. The record is from the annotation of a GenBank genome assembly.